AUGCUGGAAGGGGCAGCAAACGCCCGGCCCCGCGGGACCGUCGGAGGCACGGGGACCCUGCCGCCUGCGAGCCCCCCCCCCCCGCUGCCCCUCCCUGGCCGCGCAGCCGGCGGCAGCUUCCAGCCCUCCCGCCGUGCCCACCCGGUGCCCCCCAGGGGCCGCCAGCCCGCAGCUCACCGGCUGUCCCCGGAGCCUCCCCGGCGGAGGAUGCGCGGCCCCGGCCCGGUAAGUGCCGCGCCCCCAGCCCCCCCCGCCUGCCCGCAGCUCUCACCUCCAUCCCCCUCGUCCCGGCCGCCGGCGGGACCCGUGCCGGUGCCUCGGCCCCUCCCGCCGUCCCGGGGGCCAGCAGGACGGACCGGGGGUGCGGGGGGCUCCUUCCCCUCCCUCCCCUCGCGGCGGGGCUCCCCCGGCGCCGCUCGGUGCUGCGGGCACCGGGCAGAGCCCCCCCGGGAGGGGCCGGCCCCGCCGCCCGGUGCCCCCCACCCGCUCCGUGCGCCCCGGGCGGCUGCGGCACCGCCGCCGUGCCCGCUGCUCCCGGCCGUGCCCGGCCGCACCGGGGCUGCGCGGGGAGGAGGCGGGGGGCGGCGCGUCCGCCCCCGGUUUGCUGCGGGGAGCGGCGGGGAGGGGGGGCGAGAACGGGCGGGCGUCCUGCCGGCCGCCUCCGCGCGUGGCCGUGGGCGAGGCGCGUGGCCGCGUGCCCCCGGCCGGGUGCGGAGCCCCGGGGGUCCGCGUGCGCGCACGCCGGGUGCGCCCGUCCCGGGGUGGGGGCGAUGCGGGCAGCGCCGUGAGAGGGUCCCCGGGGGUGUGCGUGUGCCCCGGCUGCGGCUCCGUCCCGGCACGCGUGGGCACAGCGCCGGGGGGGCUGCGGGAGGGGUGCGCGGCUCUGCCCCGCCUGUGCCACGGUGCCCGGCGCCACUGAGGGCAGCCCAGCAGGGAGAGGGCUCCCCGGGGGGGGCUGUGCUGUCCCCAGCCAUGGGGGCUGGCAGGGCUCGGGGGGGCGCAGCCAGGAGCAAACGGGGCAGAGCCCACGGCUGGACCUGCCUGGGGCGGGGUUGGGCUGAGCCCCCCGAGCUCCACCUGACAGAAAUGUGCCCCCGGGGUCUGUGUGCGCAGGGGGCUGCCCAAGUGCUGUGUUGCAGGGGGAAGCCAGAGGCCGUGUGGUGCCUCCCCUUGGGGUCCAGCUAG
RNAcentral lists this long non-coding RNA (1185 nucleotides) under Anas platyrhynchos platyrhynchos (common mallard). RNAcentral's name for it is "lncRNA (ENSAPLG00000028966.1)". The record is from RNAcentral. Lineage: Eukaryota; Metazoa; Chordata; Aves; Anseriformes; Anatidae.